CUCUUAUCCCGAGCUGGUGGAGGGGUCAGGCCCUAUGAAACCCGGCAACCUGCAGUUAUGAACCAAGUAGUAAUUGGCAAAGGUGCUGAACCUGAAGCAAGGUGUAUUCCUUGGAUGAUAAGAG
This 124-nucleotide non-coding RNA is filed under the name Paenisporosarcina sp. HGH0030. RNAcentral's name for it is "SAM riboswitch aptamer (S box leader)". It matches the Rfam family "SAM riboswitch aptamer (S box leader)". Rfam says of the family: The SAM riboswitch is found upstream of a number of genes which code for proteins involved in methionine or cysteine biosynthesis in Gram-positive bacteria. Lineage: Bacteria; Bacillati; Bacillota; Bacilli; Caryophanales; Caryophanaceae. RNAcentral also lists the same sequence under 1 other name. The record is from Rfam by way of RNAcentral.